RNAcentral lists this ribosomal RNA (462 nucleotides) under uncultured bacterium. Its description in RNAcentral is "bacterial SSU rRNA". It matches the Rfam family "Bacterial small subunit ribosomal RNA", at positions 47 to 504 of the family's 1533-position model. The record is from RNAcentral.
CCUAACACAUGCAAGUCGAACGGUAACAGGGUGCUUGCACCGCUGACGAGUGGCGAACGGGUGAGUAAUGCGUCGGAACGUGCCGAGUAGUGGGGGAUAACGCAGCGAAAGUUGUGCUAAUACCGCAUACGUACUGAGGUAGAAAGUGGGGGACCUUCGGGCCUCACGCUAUUCGAGCGGCCGACGUCUGAUUAGCUAGUAGGUGAGGUAAAGGCUCACCUAGGCGACGAUCAGUAGCGGGUCUGAGAGGAUGAUCCGCCACACUGGGACUGAGACACGGCCCAGACUCCUACGGGAGGCAGCAGUGGGGAAUUUUGGACAAUGGGCGAAAGCCUGAUCCAGCCAUGCCGCGUGUCUGAAGAAGGCCUUCGGGUUGUAAAGGACUUUUGUCAGGGAGGAAAUCCCUAGCGUUAAUACCGCUGGGGGAUGACAGUACCUGAAGAAUAAGCACCGGCUAUUCUG